GAUGAACGCUGGCGGCGUGCCUAAUACAUGCAAGUCGAGCGAAUGGAUUAAGAGCUUGCUCUUAUGAAGUUAGCGGCGGACGGGUGAGUAACACGUGGGUAACCUGCCCAUAAGACUGGGAUAACUCCGGGAAACCGGGGCUAAUACCGGAUAACAUUUUGAACCGCAUGGUUCGAAAUUGAAAGGCGGCUUCGGCUGUCACUUACGGAUGGACCCGCGUCGCAUUAGCUAGUUGGUGAGGUAACGGCUCACCAAGGCAACGAUGCGUAGCCGACCUGGGAGGGUGAUCGGCCACACUGGGACUGAGACACGGCCCAGACUCCUACGGGAGGCAGCAGUAGGGAAUCUUCCGCAAUGGACGAAAGUCUGACGGAGCAACGCCGCGUGAGUGAUGAAGGCUUUCGGGUCGUAAAACUCUGUUGUUAGGGAAGAACAAGUGCUAGUUGAAUAAGCUGGCACCUUGACGGUACCUAGCCAGAAAGCCACGGCUAACUACGUGCCAGCCGCCGCAGUAA
Molecule: ribosomal RNA, 515 nt
Filed under: uncultured bacterium
Lineage: Bacteria
Description: partial 16S ribosomal RNA
Rfam family: Bacterial small subunit ribosomal RNA
Source: RNAcentral